CACAUAGUUGGUGAGGUAAUGGCUCACCAAGGCGACGAUCCGUAACUGGUCUGAGAGGAUGAUCAGUCACACUGGAACUGAGACACGGUCCAGACUCCUACGGGAGGCAGCAGUGGGGAAUAUUGGACAAUGGGCGAAAGCCUGAUCCAGCCAUGCCGCGUGUGUGAAGAAGGUCUUCGGAUUGUAAAGCACUUUAAGUUGGGAGGAAGGGUUGUAGAUUAAUACUCUGCAAUUUUGACGUUACCGACAGAAUAAGCACCGGCUAACUCUGUGCCAGCAGCCGCGGUAAUACAGAGGGUGCAAGCGUUAAUCGGAAUUACUGGGCGUAAAGCGCGCGUAGGUGGUUCGUUAAGUUGGAUGUGAAAUCCCCGGGCUCAACCUGG
Molecule: ribosomal RNA, 383 nt
Filed under: Pseudomonas sp. RZ1-b
Lineage: Bacteria; Pseudomonadati; Pseudomonadota; Gammaproteobacteria; Pseudomonadales; Pseudomonadaceae
Description: bacterial SSU rRNA
Rfam family: Bacterial small subunit ribosomal RNA
Source: RNAcentral